CAAGCAAUAUCUGAUCUGUUGAAACCAAUAAGAGUUUUGCAAUUAAGACAUUAGGGGAAAAAGAAUCAACUCCAAUCUCUACUAUUUGAUUUGUAUGUGUGUGUGUGUGUCCCCUUGGUGAUUAAGGAGUGUCCAAAGCAAUGGAAUUUCACCCACAUCCUCUUUAUCUAUCUCACCACUCCCAAUCCUGAAUGCCCUUGCCCCUUUUUUUCCCAUAGGAUUUUUGGAAUCUACAUUUAUAUAGGAAAUGAAAUCUAGCUUUGCUUGUAUGUGCAAGGGAAAUAAAAAAUGUGAAAAUAGAAUCAUUCCCGACAUAUUCAUCCAAAAAAAAAUCCCUUACAAUUUUGUGUUUCCUUCAGUGUUUCUGUGCUCUUCCCCCACUUUUAAGACAGCCAAGAACACCCUUAGAAUUACUCAAUUAGUUAAUUGUUAUGAACUUGACUAAAUCUUAAUUCCAAACCAGUUGAUGUAGACAAUAAGAAUAAUUUCCCUUUGUUUUAUUUUACCCUGUCUAGCUUUUUAAACAAUAUAUGUAUCUUUUUUAAAUUGUUAUUCUUGCAGUAAUGCCACAAAACUCUUAC
Molecule: unclassified non-coding RNA, 581 nt
Filed under: Hevea brasiliensis (rubber tree)
Lineage: Eukaryota; Viridiplantae; Streptophyta; Magnoliopsida; Malpighiales; Euphorbiaceae
Source: RNAcentral